This is a long non-coding RNA of Siniperca chuatsi (mandarin fish), 1339 nucleotides long. RefSeq lists it as uncharacterized. The transcript has 4 exons. NCBI's taxonomy places the organism in Eukaryota, Metazoa, Chordata, Actinopteri, Centrarchiformes, Sinipercidae. The record is from RefSeq and is a predicted model, not a curated record.
GCUUAACAUCACCGAUGUUCAUCAGAUUUGCCGUACCACUAAAGCACCUACAAGAAAAUUAGACAAAGGAUUUAAAUUAUAUGCUGCAUCAUAUAUACACAACUACGAAGAUUAAGCACCAUUGCCAGUGGUGUUGACACACAACCAUCAUUCCUGUGUGGCAGGCACUGUUCUGUGCAAUCACACAGUGGCAUUGCUGUUCCAAAUAGCACAUUAUUCACAGCUCAACAUCCCCUGUACAUAGCUGCACAGAAUCUGAACAGCAGUGGCACAAGCCACGGUUAAUGGGUGUGAAGCCAGGAUCCAUCAACUCCAUGAUCUUCACAAAGCCAGUACCAAAUAGGAUUGUCCAGACUGGAGUAAGGAGUGGAUUCUACAGAGGCAUGGUGGGUCCAUUACCGGAUCCCUGCAUGUUCAGAAUAAUGGAGGAGUACGCAAACUUUAGUAUCGAGGACAGGCCCCUUGUGACCACGAUGAACAUGAGACCUGACAAGCCCCUUGUGGAUAGUGCCUUCGGGUUGGUGCAGGAGGGCAGUGUUCUGUCAUAUCAGUAGCCUGCUGUGACAUUGUGGUACAUCACACUACACCAUAAUACACCACCAACACUGCACUUGUCUCUGGAGGGGUACGUUAUGUUGCCAACUGAUUGUGUGUUUGUGUGCUCGGAAGAGGAGCUACUACAGCUCAACAGCUUUUCUUUAACCAUGGAAAUGACUCACAAAAUUGAGGAAGCUACACGUGAGCAAAGCUCUAGCUCUGAUUAGCAUCUGCUCUGCAGACCCCAGGGUGCCUGCCUCAAGGUUUUGGGAAGUGUCAUGUCAGAGUCCAGAGCUCUGCAGAGUCACUUGCAGAGCACAUAAUCAAGGGAACAAGGCAGACGGCAGACAUGAGGAGAGGUGCUGAGAUGGAGCCUGCAGUAACACAAGAAUCGCUGUGUAGUGUGCUGAUGUAUUUAAAGAGGAGAUGAUACCUUUAAUUUAGCCUUUAGGCCCCCUACACAAAUACAAUGACAUAAUAUUUGAGAAAUAUUGUCUCCCCCUCACCAGUUUUUGUUUGUCUGUGUGUGUGUGUGAGUCUGUGUAUAAACAACGACACCUGCUAUAUAACUACCAACAAAGUACACUCAGACCAUAGCCUACCGUUGAUGGACGUGCUUUUGUGACCACAUCUUCAUUUCUCUUGGCAGCUGAUUUGGCUCUUGAGACCUGACCAUUUUAUAAAUGGAAGGCUCAAUCAAAAAUCAAAAUGCCAUCAGAUGGUCAUAGCUUGGAAAUAUAUUCACAGAAAAUCAUAUACUGUCACCUUAAUCAUGUUGUAACAACUAAGUUAAUGUGUUACC